AUGGCUCAAGAUAAUACCAAAUUGUGUGACUUUUCCAAUACCAACAAUAAUGAUUUCCUUAGCACUCCGAUUGCUCCUCUUAAUGAUGCUGAAUCUUGUGAAAACAAUGCUGCUUUGUUGAAUCUUGUUAUGAAAGAUCAAUUCUCCGGCCUUCCUAGUGAAGAUGCCGCUACUCAUCUAAAUAACUUUGUUGAUGUGUGUGAUAUGCAAAAGAAGAAAGACACGGAUAAUGAUAUUGUUAAAUUGAAGUUAUUUCCAUUUUCACUUAGGGAUCAUGCUAAAACUUGGUUUUCGUCUUUGCCUAAAAAUAGUAUUGAUUCAUGGAAUAAGUGCAAAGAUGCUUUUAUCUCUAAGUAUUUUCCUCCCGCUAAGAUCGUCUCUCUUAGAAACGAUAUUAUGAAUUUUAAACAACUUGAUCCUGAGCAUGUUGCCCAAUCUUGGGAAAGAAUGAAAUUAAUGAUUAGCAAUUUCCCUACACAUGGUUUGAAUUUAUGGAUGAUCAUACAAAAAUUUUAUGCCGGACUGAAUUUCGCUUCUAGAAAUCUUCUAGAUUCGGCCGCGGGAGGCACUUUUAUGGAAAUCACCUUAGGAGAAGCUACUAAACUCCUAGAUAAUAUUUUGAGUGGAAAGAUGGAUGAACUUAUGAAAUUGUUUGCUACUAAGAGUGCUCCUAUUGAUCCUAAUUAUAUGCCUUUGUCUACUUUGAUUGAGAAUAAUAAUGAAUCUAUGGACGUGAAUUUUGUUGGUAGGAAUAAUUUUUGUAACAAUGCUUAUAGAGGAAACUUUAAUCCUAGGUUGUUUCCUAGUAAUUCCUCUAAUAAUUAUGGUAAUUCCUACAACAACUCUUAUGGAAAUUUUAAUAAGAUGCCCUCUGAUUUUGAGAAUAGUGUUAAAGAAUUUAUGAUGUCUCAAAAGAAUUUCAAUGCUUUGCUUGAAGAAAAAUUGCUUAAAGUUGAUGAAUUGGCUAGAAACGUUGAUAGACUUUCUCUUGAUGUUGAUUCUUUUAAACUUAGAUCUAUUCCACCUAAGAAUGAUAUCAAUGAGUCUCUCAAAGCCAUGAGAAUUUCCAUUGAUGAGUGGAAAGAAAGAACCGCUAGGAUGCGUGCUAAGAAAGAUUGCUUUGUAAGAGCACGUUCUUCUAGUUUCCAUGAAAAUAAUGAUGAAGAUCUAAAAGUUAUUGAUGUGUCCCCUCUUAAAUCUUUGUUUGGCAAUAUGAAUCUUGAUAAUAAUGGGACUGGAGAUGAGUCAACUUUAGUUAAAAGGCGUCCCAAUGAUUCAGAGUUUUUAGAUCUUGAUACUAAAUUUGGUAAAAGUGGGAUUGGAGAGGUCAAAACUUUACAUAGCAUUGAACCCACUAUUAUGGAUUUCAAGGAAUUUCAUUAUGAUCAUUGUUCUUUAAUAGAUUGUAUUUCCUUGUUGCAAUCCGUGUUGAAUUCCCCUCAUGCUCAUAGUCAAAACAAAGCUUUUACCAAACAUAUUGUUGUUGCCUUGAUGCAAUCUUAUGAGGAAAAACUUGAGUUCAAAGUCUCUAUACCUAGAAAACUUUAUGAUGAGUGGGAACCUACUAUAAAAUUAAAAUUAAAUAUCAUGAAUGCUAUGCUUUGUGUGAUUUGGGUGCCAGUGUUUCCACGAUUCCGAAAACUUUAUGUGAUGUGCUAG
This 1659-nucleotide ribosomal RNA is filed under the name Triticum aestivum (bread wheat). RNAcentral's name for it is "partial small subunit ribosomal RNA". Lineage: Eukaryota; Viridiplantae; Streptophyta; Magnoliopsida; Poales; Poaceae. The record is from RNAcentral.